Long non-coding RNA from Drosophila rhopaloa, 603 nucleotides. RefSeq lists it as uncharacterized. The record is from RefSeq and is a predicted model, not a curated record. The transcript has 2 exons. Lineage: Eukaryota; Metazoa; Arthropoda; Insecta; Diptera; Drosophilidae.
AGAAAGCAUAUAAAUAUUAGUAUUUUUUUAUAGACCUUAUGGAAUAUUUACUCUAUUAAGACGUGGUUAUAAGUCAAUCUAAGGCGCGGGAAGAUAAUACUGUCUUCAGUGACUCAACACACAUUGAACGUAAUCUAACAUGGAUAUUAAUCAAUAUAUAAGCUCGGUGCAAACAUCUCAAUGUGAAAUUGGGCAAAUUAAACAAGAAAUUGCUGUGCUCGAGGAUAAAUUGAGACAGACAACUGAUAUACUCGAUCGAAAUAGGAUUCAGAACCAGAUAAGGAAAUUAAAUGAAAGGAUUAAUGUAGUUCAGAAGAAUAUAAAAUUACAUGGGGAUCUCUAUCAAGCUCAAUUAAAUUCGAAAAUGAUGAAUCAACUACUUCGCUGAAGAAUAUGGAACCUUGAAAGGUGCACUGUGCUGGAAAAAAAUUUGAGCCCAACUUCAACAAAAGGACGCAACAAAGAAAAAUAAACUGUAAUAUCCUAUAUUCAUACUAAUUACAUUUCAUGGAAAAAAUGUAUAGAUUUACAUGAAAGCUAAAGUUAAAACUGUUUUAUAAUGAGAUUGAAAUAAAAAUAUUUUAUUAUGUAUACCCUCAACAA